RNAcentral lists this ribosomal RNA (452 nucleotides) under uncultured organism. RNAcentral's name for it is "partial 16S ribosomal RNA". It matches the Rfam family "Bacterial small subunit ribosomal RNA", at positions 332 to 800 of the family's 1533-position model. The record is from RNAcentral.
UACACUCCUACGGGAGGCAGCAGUGGGGAAUAUUGGACAAUGGGCGCAAGCCUGAUCCAGCCAUGCCGCGUGAGUGAUGAAGGCCCUAGGGUUGUAAAGCUCUUUCACCGGUGAAGAUAAUGACGGUAACCGGAGAAGAAGCCCCGGCUAACUUCGUGCCAGCAGCCGCGGUAAUACGAAGGGGGCUAGCGUUGUUCGGAUUUACUGGGCGUAAAGCGCACGUAGGCGGACUAUUAAGUCAGGGGUGAAAUCCCGGGGCUCAACCCCGGAACUGCCUUUGAUACUGGUAGUCUUGAGUUCGAGAGAGGUGGGUGGAAUUCCGAGUGUAGAGGUGAAAUUCGUAGAUAUUCGGAGGAACACCAGUGGCGAAGGCGGCUCACUGGCUCGAUACUGACGCUGAGGUGCGAAAGCGUGGGGAGCAAACAGGAUUAGAUACCCGAGUAGUCCCAUGA